CUACAUGAAGCUGGAAUCGCUAGUAAUCGCGAAUCAGAAUGUCGCGGUGAAUACGUUCCCGGGUCUUGUACACACCGCCCGUCACACCAUGGGAGCCGGGAAUGCCCGAAGUCGGUGACUCAACCGUAAGGAGGGAGCCGCCGAAGGCAGGCCUGGUAACUGGGGUGAAGUCGUAACAAGGUAUC
This 185-nucleotide ribosomal RNA is filed under the name uncultured bacterium. RNAcentral's name for it is "partial 16S ribosomal RNA". It matches the Rfam family "Bacterial small subunit ribosomal RNA", at positions 1316 to 1500 of the family's 1533-position model. The record is from RNAcentral.